UGGUCAUCUUGAUAUCACACACACACACACACACACACACACACACACACACACACACACACACACUCCGAUCCCAGCCCACAGGAAACGCAAAGCCAAACUAUAGCUUAAGAUAUUUCCUGUGGGGCUCCACACCAACAGCUCCACGGGAAGUUACUCAAUGACUCUAGCUUGGUCGACUCUUGCUUUACCUGGAUGCCAGCCACCACAUUCCUGAGAUCCUUGGCAAUUUAAAUGACUUAGGGCUUGGAGAUAGAGCGUGGAAGGGGCAUGGGAAAACUGAGGCCCAGAGAAGUUGGAAGCAAAGACCACCAAGCAGCCCUGGGUUGCAUCAGGUGGAGCCCGGGCACUCCCGGCACACCACUGUCCCCUGGUGGCCAAGCUAAGAAUUGUCUGUGACCGACCUCCGAUGCUGGAUUCCCCAAAAGCCACACUGAAGAAUUAGCUCUAGAAUGGACUUCAGCCAGCACCAGGGUUUUAAAUUCCUAGGCGGUCUGUGUAAUCGCACACCUUGAACCUGGACUGACGCAACCCCGAUCAUUUGCAUGUCUGGGUCCUGAAGAAGCAAAUGGAAAUCUUUGGAGGAAGAUUGCCUAGGAUCUACAUUAGUCACAAUAUGCUUCCAAGUGCCCUGGAAUGAAAUCCUGGUCAAGGACCUGGUGACAAACACAAACUUGUAAAGGAUCAAAUGCUGUGAUUAUUUCACAUACAGCAUGAAACAUCUAUGCUUAAGUAAACAAAAGACAAGCUUG
Molecule: long non-coding RNA, 752 nt
Organism: Perognathus longimembris pacificus (Pacific pocket mouse)
Lineage: Eukaryota; Metazoa; Chordata; Mammalia; Rodentia; Heteromyidae
Exons: 2
Source: RefSeq, a predicted model, not a curated record